AUGAAACUUCAUGNNNNNNNNNNNNNNNNNNNNCCCUGCCAGUGUCUCCGCCGGUUGAAAGCGCGUGUCUGCGUCGGGUUCUGUUUGAGAGCGUUCGGUGCGCCGUGGGUCCGCGCUGCUUCCACCCAACUUCCUGUUAGAGUUUCUCUCCUGUCACAAUGGCAUGAUCUCGGCUCACUGCGACCUCUGCUUCCUGGGUUCAAGGAUUCUCCUGCCUCAGCCUCCCAAGUAGCUGGGAUUACAGACGGAGUCUUGCCCUCUUGUGCAGGCUGGAGUGCAGUGCUGUGCUCUUGGCUCACCACAACCUCUGCCUCCUGGGUUCAAGCAAUUCUCCUCACUCAGCCUCCCGAGUAGCUGGGAUUACAGGCAUGUGCCACUAUGCCCGGCUACUUUUGUAUUUUUAGUUGAAAUGGGGUUUGUUUACGUUGGUCAUGUUGGUAUUGAAUUCCCGACCUCAUGUGAUCCGCCUGCCUCAGCCUCCCAAAGUGCUGGGGUUAGAGGCAUGAGCCACCAUACCGGCCUUUUUUAUUUUUUAUUUUUUUUGAAGUAGGGUCUUGCACUGUUACCGAGGCUGGAGUGCAGUGGUUCGAUCUUAGCUUACUGCAACCUCCAUAAUCUGGGCUCAAGUAGUCCUUCCACCUCAGCCUCCCUAGUAGCUGGGACUGAAGCUGUGUGCCACCAUGCCUGGCUAGUUUUUAUAUUAUUAGGAGAGAUGGG
This 717-nucleotide long non-coding RNA is filed under the name Pan paniscus (pygmy chimpanzee). RNAcentral's name for it is "lncRNA (ENSPPAG00000044985.1)". Lineage: Eukaryota; Metazoa; Chordata; Mammalia; Primates; Hominidae. The record is from RNAcentral.